GUUCUCACUUUGGCAGCACAUAUACUAAAAUCAGAAUGAUACAGAGAAUAUUUGCAUGGUCACUGUGCAAGGAUGACAUACACAUUCAUGAAGGAUUCUGUAUUCUU
Ictidomys tridecemlineatus (thirteen-lined ground squirrel) is the source of this 107-nucleotide small nuclear RNA. The record is from Ensembl. Lineage: Eukaryota; Metazoa; Chordata; Mammalia; Rodentia; Sciuridae.